RNAcentral lists this ribosomal RNA (252 nucleotides) under uncultured prokaryote. Its description in RNAcentral is "partial 16S rRNA". It matches the Rfam family "Archaeal small subunit ribosomal RNA", at positions 475 to 726 of the family's 1478-position model. The record is from RNAcentral.
ACCGGCGGCUCGAGUGGAGGGGAAUAAAACUGGGAUUAAAGCGUUCGUAGCUGGCUUGUUAAGUCUCUGGGGAAAUCUUCCGGCUCAACCGGAAGGCGUCUCAGGGAUACUGGCAGGCUAGGGACCGGAAGAGGUGAGAGGUACUCCAGGGGUAGGAGUGAAAUCCUGUAAUCCUUGGGGGACCACCUGUGGCGAAGGCGUCUCACCAGGACGGCUCCGACAGUGAGGAACGGAAGCUGGGGGAGCAAACCG